RNAcentral lists this ribosomal RNA (254 nucleotides) under uncultured bacterium. RNAcentral's name for it is "partial 16S ribosomal RNA". It matches the Rfam family "Bacterial small subunit ribosomal RNA", at positions 524 to 776 of the family's 1533-position model. The record is from RNAcentral.
UACGUAGGGUGCGAGCGUUAAUCGGAAUUACUGGGCGUAAAGGGCGCGUAGGCGGCCAGCACAAGUCAGUUGUGAAAUCUCCGAGCUUAACUCGGAAAGGUCAACUGAUACUGUGCGGCUAGAGUGCGGAAGGGGCAACUGGAAUUCUUGGUGUAGCGGUGAAAUGCGUAGAUAUCAAGAGGAACACCUGCGGCGAAGGCGGGUUGCUGGGCCGACACUGACGCUGAGGCGCGAAAGCCAGGGGAGCGAACGGG